This 468-nucleotide ribosomal RNA is filed under the name uncultured bacterium. Its description in RNAcentral is "partial 16S ribosomal RNA". It matches the Rfam family "Bacterial small subunit ribosomal RNA", at positions 28 to 507 of the family's 1533-position model. The record is from RNAcentral.
GACGAACGCUGGCGGCGUGCUUAACACAUGCAAGUCGAACGGAAAGGCCCUGCUUUUGUGGGGUGCUCGAGUGGCGAAAGGGUGAGUAACACGUGAGUAACCUGCCCUUGACUUUGGGAUAACUUCAGGAAACUGGGGCUAAUACCGGAUAGGAGCUCCUGCUGCAUGGUGGGGGUUGGAAAGUUUCGGCGGUUGGGGAUGGACUCGCGGCUUAUCAGCUUGUUGGUGGGGUAGUGGCUUACCAAGGCUUUGACGGGUAGCCGGCCUGAGAGGGUGACCGGCCACAUUGGGACUGAGAUACGGCCCAGACUCCUACGGGAGGCAGCAGUGGGGAAUAUUGCACAAUGGGCGGAAGCCUGAUGCAGCAACGCCGCGUGCGGGAUGACGGCCUUCGGGUUGUAAACCGCUUCCGCCUGUGACGAAGCGUGAGUGACGGUAAUGGGUAAAGAAGCACCGGCUAACUACGUG